AUCCAGACUCCUACGGGAGGCAGCAGUGGGGAAUAUUGCACAAUGGGGGAAACCCUGAUGCAGCGACGCCGCGUGAGCGAUGAAGUAUUUCGGUAUGUAAAGCUCUAUCAGCAGGGAAGAAAAUGACGGUACCUGACUAAGAAGCCCCGGCUAACUACGUGCCAGCAGCCGCGGUAAUACGUAGGGGGCAAGCGUUAUCCGGAUUUACUGGGUGUAAAGGGAGCGUAGACGGCUGUGCAAGCCAGAUGUGAAAGCCCGGGGCUCAACCCCGGGACUGCAUUUGGAACUGUGUAGCUGGAGUGUCGGAGAGGCAGGCGGAAUUCCUAGUGUAGCGGUGAAAUGCGUAGAUAUUAGGAGGAACACCAGUGGCGAAGGCGGCCUGCUGGACGAUGACUGACGUUGAGGCUCGAAAGCGUGGGGAGCAAACAGGAUUAGAUACCCCCGUAGG
RNAcentral lists this ribosomal RNA (448 nucleotides) under uncultured bacterium. Its description in RNAcentral is "bacterial SSU rRNA". It matches the Rfam family "Bacterial small subunit ribosomal RNA", at positions 329 to 794 of the family's 1533-position model. The record is from RNAcentral.